GAUAGUUUGCCCUUGCUUGAGAACACACAUACUGGUUUUUCGAUACUCCAGCCGCAGCCGCCGAAUCAGUGCACCGUUUCCCUUCCACCAGCCCGGCGGUAGGAACACCGAGGUGUGCAGUUUAUUUCCAUUACUCUGGCAUCUAAAGCACCUUCUCCUUAAAGCUUCGUGGGCUCAAAUUGAAUCGCUGCGUCGUGAUCCCUUCGCAUACUGACUGAAGUCGUACCCGCUCAACGCAACGCCUCCUCGCCGACCGCCGCCACCACUCAACGUUUCCCGGGGAGAUGCCGAAGAAAUCGACGAAAUCCAAGUCCAAGCGCACAACCCUGAAGCAGAAAUACAAGCUUAUUAAAAAAGUGAAAGAACAUAAUAAGAAAAAGCGCAGGGAGGACGCUCGGAAUAAGCGUCUGGGCUGCUUCAAGUCGAGGGCACCGAGAGAUCCCGGAGUUCCGGCGGAAUGGCCUUACAAGGAAGAACUGAUGAAGGAGAUAGAUUUUGAGCUGGACAAAAAGAAAGCGCUCGACAAGGCGAAAGCCCAAGCGCGUCAUUCUCGGCGUUCAGAAAACCGCGAGCGAGCGGGUCAUAACCCAGGAUCCAAU
This 599-nucleotide long non-coding RNA is filed under the name Micromonas commoda. Its description in RNAcentral is "long non-coding RNA (MCOM_LNC000065)". The record is from RNAcentral. Lineage: Eukaryota; Viridiplantae; Chlorophyta; Mamiellophyceae; Mamiellales; Mamiellaceae.